CGUGUUGCCUGCAAGGGCGUAUGGUGGAUGCCUUGGCAGACAGGACCGAUGAAGGACGUUUGAGGCUGCGAUAUGCCUCGGGGAGCCGCCAACAGGGCUUUGAUCCGAGGAUUUCCGAAUGGGGGAACCCACCGGCCGUCAUGGGCCGGUACCGCCGUGUGCGGGGGGUACGCAGGGAAGUGAAACAUCUCAGUACCUGCAGGAAAGGAUAUUCCGUGAGUAGUGGCGAGCGAAAGCGGAUCAGGCCAAACCUUGCGCGUGUGAUACCCGUCGGGGGUUGCGCGCGGGGUGUAGAGGGAUCGCGUUUGCCGGCUCCGACGGGCCGGCCGUCAGUUGCAUAAAACCAUGUGCCAGGGGAACCGGGUUGAAUACCGGGCCGCAGAGGGUGAGGGCCCCGUACCCGAACGCGCAUGGUCUGGCGAUCGCGUCUCCCAAGUAGCACGGGCCCCGUGGAAUCCCGUGCGAAUCAGUCCCGACCGUGGGAUAAGCCUAAAUAUUCCUGUCUGACCGAUAGCGAACGAGUACCGUGAGGGAAAGGUGAAAAGUACCCCGGGAGGGGAGUGAAACAGUCUCUGAAACCAUGCGCCUACGAACCGUCGGGGCCCCCUUGUGGGGUGACGGCGUGCCUAUCGAAAAAUGAGUCUGCGAGUCAGUGGCAUGUGGCGAGCAUAAGCCGUGUGGCGUAUGCGUAGCGAAGGCGAGUCUUAAAAGGCGUUUGAGUCGCGUGUCCUGGACCCGAAGCGGGAUGAUCUAGCCCUGAGCAGGUUGAAGCGCGGGUAAGACCGUGUGGAGGACCGAACCCACCUGGGUUGAAAACCGGGGGGAUGACUUGGGGCUAGGGGUGAAAGGCCAAUCAAAUUCCGUGAUAGCUGGUUCUCUCCGAAAUGCAUUUAGGUGCAGCGUCGGAUCGAUUACAUCCGGGGGGUAGAGCGACUGGAUGCUUGCGGGCCCAUAUCGGGUACCAACAGCAACCAAACUCCGAAUACCCGUGAUGCGUAUCCCGGCAGUGAGUCGGCGGGGGAUAAGCUCCGUCGUCGAAAGGGAAACAGCCCAGAUCGUCGUCUAAGGUCCCCAAGCGUGUGCUAAGUGGGAAAGGAUGUGGAGUCGCAUAGACAGCCAGGAGGUUGGCUCAGAAGCAGCCACCCUUGAAAGAGUGCGUAACAGCUCACUGGUCUAGUGGUUCCGCGCCGACAAUGUAGCGGGGCUCAAGCACACCACCGAAGACGCGGCAGUAGCUUUGCUACUGGGUAGGAGAGCGUCCCAUGCGGGGCGAAGCGGCGGCGCAAGCCCGCCGUGGACCGCAUGGGAGUGAGAAUGCAGACAUGAGUAGCGAAAGACGGGUGAAGAUCCCGUCCGCUGGACGACCAAGGGUUCCAGGGCCACGUUCAUCGUCCCUGGGUGAGUCGGGUCCUAAGGCGAGGCCGACAGGCGUAGUCGAAUGGAUGAACGGGUCGAUAUUCCCGUACCGGCAUGCAACCGACAAAACCGAAUCCGCGAGUACUAACCUCCGGGUCCGGGCUUACGUCUCCUUCGGGAGCCGGAUGCCCUGGCCUGUUGGGACCGUAACGGUAGUAGGUCAGCGCGGGAGUGACGCAGAAGGGUAGCCGGCCGCGGAGGUGGUCUUCCGUGGUCAAGCACGCAGCCCGUCCCACAGGCAAAUCCGUGGGGCGCGUGGGCGAGGUGCGAUGAUGGGCGCCGCAGGGCGCGAUAUCCGGUGAUCCCGGCUGCCGAGAAAAGCUUCGGCGUGAGGCGGCGUGCCGCCCGUACCCCAAACCGACACUGGUGGUCAGGUAGAGAAUACCAAAGCGAUCGAGCGAAUCCUGGUCAAGGAACUCGGCAAAUCACUCCCGUUCCUUCGGUUUAAGGGAGACCCCCGAUGGUGAAGCGGCUUGCCCGUGGAGCUUUUGGGGGUGGCACAGACCAGGGGGUAGCGACUGUUUACCAAAAACACAGGAGCGUGCGAAGGCGCAAGCCGCUGUAUACGCUCUGACGCCUGCCCGGUGCCGGAAGGUUAAGAGGAUCCGUCAGGCUUCGGCCGAAGCGGUGAAUUCAAGCCCCGGUAAACGGCGGUGGUAACUAUAACCAUCCUAAGGUAGCGAAAUUCCUUGUCGGGUAAGUUCCGACCUGCACGAAUGG
Molecule: ribosomal RNA, 2136 nt
Filed under: Veillonella sp.
Lineage: Bacteria; Bacillati; Bacillota; Negativicutes; Veillonellales; Veillonellaceae
Description: partial 23S ribosomal RNA
Rfam family: Bacterial large subunit ribosomal RNA
Source: RNAcentral